CAGCAGCCGCGGUAAUACGAAGGGGGCUAGCGUUGUUCGGAUUUACUGGGCGUAAAGGGUGCGUAGGCGGAUUGUUAAGUCAGGGGUGAAAUCCCGAGGCUCAACCUCGGAACUGCCUUUGAUACUGGCGAUCUUGAGUCCGGGAGAGGUGAGUGGAACUGCGAGUGUAGAGGUGAAAUUCGUAGAUAUUCGCAAGAACACCGGUGGCGAAGGCGGCUCACUGGCCCGGAACUGACGCUGAGGUGCGAAAGCGUGGGGAGCAAACAGGAUUAGAUACCCCCGUAGUCCCUGUCUCUUAUAC
Molecule: ribosomal RNA, 301 nt
Filed under: uncultured bacterium
Lineage: Bacteria
Description: partial 16S ribosomal RNA
Rfam family: Bacterial small subunit ribosomal RNA
Source: RNAcentral